AGUUACUACUAGGCGAAGCUUCGUAUAAUCCCGCUGAUAAGGUGUGGGAGUCUCUACCUGAAACCUCAAAUUUCAGAUUACGAAGAGUUAAGUGCAUGGC
Molecule: non-coding RNA, 100 nt
Filed under: Vibrio tubiashii
Lineage: Bacteria; Pseudomonadati; Pseudomonadota; Gammaproteobacteria; Vibrionales; Vibrionaceae
Description: Guanine sequence
Rfam family: Purine riboswitch aptamer
About the family: Riboswitches are metabolite binding domains within certain messenger RNAs that serve as precision sensors for their corresponding targets. Allosteric rearrangement of mRNA structure is mediated by ligand binding, and this results in modulation of gene expression. A class of riboswitches that selectively recognises guanine and becomes saturated at concentrations as low as 5 nM.
Source: RNAcentral